GACGAACGCUGGCGGCGCGCCUAACACAUGCAAGUCGAACGGAGCGUGCCGAGAAGAUCCCUUCGGGGUGAUUCAUGGCAUUGCUUAGUGGCGAACGGGUGAGUAACACGUGAGCAACCUACCUCCGAGCGGGGGACAACAUUUGGAAACAGAUGCUAAUACCGCAUAAGACCACAGCCGGACAUCCGGCAGGGGCCAAAGGAUUUAUCCACUUGGAGAUGGGCUCGCGUCCGAUUAGAUAGUUGGUGAGGUAAUGGCUCACCAAGUCAGCGAUCGGUAGCCGGACUGAGAGGUUGAACGGCCACAUUGGGACUGAGACACGGCCCAGACUCCUACGGGAGGCAGCAGUGGGGAAUAUUGCACAAUGGGCGAAAGCCUGAUGCAGCGACGCCGCGUGAGGGAAGAAGGUUUUCGGAUUGUAAACCUCUGUCUUCGGGGACGAUAAUGACGGUACCCGAGGAGGAAGCCACGGCUAACUACGUGCCAGCCGCCGCCGUAAUAC
Molecule: ribosomal RNA, 502 nt
Filed under: uncultured bacterium
Lineage: Bacteria
Description: bacterial SSU rRNA
Rfam family: Bacterial small subunit ribosomal RNA
Source: RNAcentral